RNAcentral lists this ribosomal RNA (468 nucleotides) under uncultured bacterium. RNAcentral's name for it is "partial 16S ribosomal RNA". It matches the Rfam family "Bacterial small subunit ribosomal RNA", at positions 28 to 507 of the family's 1533-position model. The record is from RNAcentral.
GACGAACGCUGGCGGCGUGCUUAACACAUGCAAGUCGAACGGCCCGGCCCUGCUUUUGUGGGGUGCUCGAGUGGCGAACGGGUGAGUAACAUGUGAGUAACCUGCCCUUGACUUUGUGGUAACUUCACGGAACUGGGGCUAAUACGGGAUAGGAGCUCCUGCAGCGUGGUGGGGGUUGGAAAGUUUCGGCGGUAGGGGAUGGACUCGCGGCUUAUCAGCUUGUUGGUGGGGGAGUGGUAUGCCAAGGCUUUGACGGGUAGCCGGCCUGGGGGGGUGACCAGCCUCAUCGGGACUGAGAUACGGACCCGACCCCUACGGGAGCGAGAGGCGGCGAAGGGUGAAAAAUGGGAGGAGGCGUGAUGCAGCACCGCCGCGUGCGGGAUGACGGCGAUCGGGUUGGAAACCGAUUGCGCCUUUGACGAAGAGGAUGUGGCGGUAAUGGGUAAAGGAGCCCCGGCUAACUACGUU